Molecule: long non-coding RNA, 2323 nt
Filed under: Arabidopsis thaliana (thale cress)
Lineage: Eukaryota; Viridiplantae; Streptophyta; Magnoliopsida; Brassicales; Brassicaceae
Description: potential natural antisense gene, locus overlaps with AT5G18240 (AT5G18245)
Source: RNAcentral
GGUUUUUCUUCGAUUUGCAACGUUGUGAAUGCUUACACAUCUAUGGGUAUGUUCUUGCUUUGUUAAAAAGCACGGAGCUUUACGUCCUUCUCUCAAGAAUUUCAGUAUCUUCCAUGAAGUUAGUAAAUUUAUCUGUAUUUAUAUGAUGAGAUCAUAACUACGCAAAUUAAUAGUGUUGUACAUUGUUGCACAAGAUGUCUCUUUUGAGUUCGACUAAUAAUUCAAUUUUUAGACGAAUCCCUCAAGCUAACAAAGGAAAUCAAAGGCUUUUCAUUUCCUGUGUGAUUAUCAUAAAAAGGACUUCUUCUUGAAGACGAGAUUCUCGGUUCUGCGUUGUUAACCAUUGUUGAAAGAUAUGGCCUGUUGUGAUUCUCUCUGAGGCUUUCUUCUUCUGCCCAUGUGAGCUCCAUUCUAUGGAAGAAUGGCUCUUCCAUUAUCUCUUUCUGCUCUGAAGUUGAAUCUCCAAUAUAUGUUCUUAAUCCCAGUCUGUUGUCAAGCAUCUUUGGGGCUUUCUGAGUUCCUUCACUUGAGGUUAGGCAACUGUCCAGGGAGGAGUUAGGUGGAUACGUUUUUUGCAUCUGUUGAUGGUGUAGAUUCUGCAGUUCUUUCGGUUCGAGGAAACUAGAGUCUGGAUAGUCUGCUGAUACUUUAGAUACUAAUUCUGAGAGUUGAGCUUUUGUUGCUUCAAUCCCAGCUGCACCUAGGUUCUGUCUUCCAAGAGUCUCUUGUGCUUUCUCCAGAAUCGAUUGCAGAGUACAGUAUAUGAUAGAUACCUCAAGUUGCUCGUGUAGCCGUCUCUGGACCUCUAUUUGCAUUUGAAGGGCAUCACUUAUGGGUAAGUUCCUGCGUGCACAAAUAUAGGUCAUUUUUGAGAAUCUACUAAGGUAGAAUAUGUAAGCAAAUAGGCAUAUCCUUACAUGCUCGGCUGUGGUCCAAUGCUUAAACUCUCACUGUGACUUUCGUCUACUUCAGGGGGGUUUUCUUCUACCAUGGUCAUCACACCUAAACCAGGUUGCUUUUAGUUUACUUGAAGGAAAAUAGUAUGAAAAAAGAAUGAAUCUUUAGAUUAAAAUAUUUUUGUAUCUGAGUAAUGAAUAACUAAGCUUACUUGUCUUGUUUAAACUGCUGUUAGCUUGUCCAUUAAGAUUCUUGCUUAGCCUAUAUUUCUGGUAGUCAAAUCAUGAUAUUAAUAAUCUUUGUAAAACAAAAAACAGAUAUUACAGAUUUUUCAUAUCUUGACAUAUCGUCAUUUUUGUGCUACUUUAAUAGUUUUCUACCAAUCGAAUUGAUGAACGAGUCAUGUAAGUUUAGGGCCUUGGGCAUAUGACUGUAUAAAGUGUUGAUGGAUUACCUGAAGAUGACUCUUGAGAUGGUAUAAGGUAAGGCCUGGAAUGCCCAUGACUUUCAUGAUUGUCUUAGGAGUAGCCUCUGCGCAGACAAAAGUAUACACAUUAAUACAUUAUGUUCAAAAAGCCUGAUUGUAAAAGAUGGUUCAUUUGCUUAUAAGAUAACUUACUAUCUCCUCCUCCAAGCUGGUUGACCGCUUCAACAAAUCUCUCGUGAAGAUCUGGAGUCCAUUUUAGUCGUGGCUUUGCAUCAGUGGAGAGAAUGAGUCCAGAAUCUCCUGUGCCAUUUCCUCUGAGGAACGGAUGCCUUUCAGAAGAAAUGGGCAUUCUCGAUGAAGAGAGGAUGCUCUUUCCUUGGUGCUGGUUGUGGUAAUACAUAAGUCUGUCUUCAAAAUAAAAAGGCCGGGGUCUCUCAAGAGUAAAAAGUCUUUGCAACUUUGCUUUAUAUAGAAAGUUGAAUGGCAAAAAGGCAAAUUAGAGGAUGAUAACUAAGUCCACAGCUCCAACCUCUCUAUCUCUUGAGGGAGCAUAAUUCAACACGUGGGAUUGUGAUUCGCUUGAUUGAAUGAGAGAGGAUUGGAUACAUAAAACAGGAGGAAGCGGGAAAUGACCGCGGAAUUAUAUUCGUUUGGAGAGAAAAUGGAGGGUAAUAAGUGGGUUCGUUCAUGAGAUUCUAGAGAAUGAGAAUAUGAGAAUCCAAAACUAAAGAAAGCUUGGUGAGUCGCAUUCUCAACUCAAGAAUCUUUUUUGUUCAUCACAACCCGAACCCAAAAAAAAAAAGAGACUAUUCGGGUCUAUUUCUUUCCCCUUUUACUUAGUCUCGAUUUUUGUGGAUAUUUUAAUGAAUUGUGAUUCUUAUAAGCACAACAAAAGAUUAGGAGAAUCAUUGUAGGAGUUUUGUGUUCACCACAAGGCAGUGUUGUCUGCAUCCAACCGAAUCAUGUAGCAGUUUUGUUAUAUUGGUUUGAAUAUUAUGA